CAAAGGUGAGCCAGUACAGGAUGGACCCGCGUCUGAUUAGCUAGUUGGUAAGGUAACGGCUUACCAAGGCGACGAUCAGUAGCCGACCUGAGAGGGUGAUCGGCCACAUUGGAACUGAGACACGGUCCAAACUCCUACGGGAGGCAGCAGUGGGGAAUAUUGCACAAUGGGCGAAAGCCUGAUGCAGCAACGCCGCGUGAGUGAUGAAGGCCUUCGGGUCGUAAAACUCUGUCCUCAAGGAAGAUAAUGACGGUACUUGAGGAGGAAGCCCCGGCUAACUACGUGCCAGCAGCCGCGGUAAUACGUAGGGGGCUAGCGUUAUCCGGAUUUACUGGGCGUAAAGGGUGCGUAGGCGGUCUUUCAAGUCAGGAGUGAAAGGCUACGGCUCAACCGUAGUAAGCUCUUGAAACUGGGAGACUUGAGUGCAGGAGAGGAGAGUGGAAUUCCUAGUGUAGCGGUGAAAUGCGUAGAUAUUAGGAGGAACACCAGUUGCGAAGGCGGCUCUCUGGACUGUAACUGACGCUGAGGCACGAAAGCGUGGGGAGCAAACAGGAUUAGAUACCCUGGUAGUCCACGCUGUAAACGA
This 586-nucleotide ribosomal RNA is filed under the name uncultured bacterium. RNAcentral's name for it is "bacterial SSU rRNA". It matches the Rfam family "Bacterial small subunit ribosomal RNA", at positions 202 to 809 of the family's 1533-position model. The record is from RNAcentral.